RNAcentral lists this transfer RNA (75 nucleotides) under Clostridiales bacterium. RNAcentral describes it as "tRNA-Pro". It matches the Rfam family "tRNA". From Rfam's summary of the family: Transfer RNA (tRNA) molecules are approximately 80 nucleotides in length. Their secondary structure includes four short double-helical elements and three loops (D, anti-codon, and T loops). The record is from RNAcentral. Lineage: Bacteria; Bacillati; Bacillota; Clostridia; Eubacteriales.
CGGGGCGUAGCGCAGUGGCAGCGCACGUGGUUUGGGACCAUGGGGUCGGGAGUUCGAAUCUCUUCGCCCCGACCA